GAUCAUGGCUCAGGAUGAACGCUAGCUACAGGCUUAACACAUGCAAGUCGAGGGGCAGCAUGGUCUUAGCUUGCUAAGUUUGAUGGCGACCGGCGCACGGGUGAGUAACACGUAUCCAACCUGCCGAUGACUCGGGGAUAGCCUUUCGAAAGAAAGAUUAAUACCCGAUGGCAUAGUUCUUCCGCGUGGUGGAACUAUUAAAGAAUUUCGGUCAUCGAUGGGGAUGCGUUCCAUUAGG
This 238-nucleotide ribosomal RNA is filed under the name uncultured bacterium. Its description in RNAcentral is "partial 16S ribosomal RNA". It matches the Rfam family "Bacterial small subunit ribosomal RNA", at positions 15 to 245 of the family's 1533-position model. The record is from RNAcentral.